Molecule: ribosomal RNA, 253 nt
Filed under: uncultured bacterium
Lineage: Bacteria
Description: partial 16S ribosomal RNA
Rfam family: Bacterial small subunit ribosomal RNA
Source: RNAcentral
UACAGAGGGUGCAAGCGUUAAUCGGAAUUACUGGGCGUAAAGGGUGCGUAGGCGGUUAAAUAAGUUAGAUGUGAAAUCCCCAGGCUUAACCUGGGAACUGCGUUUAAUACUGUAUAGCUAGAGUACUGAAGAGGUUAGUGGAAUUUCCAGUGUAGCGGUGAAAUGCGUAGAUAUUGGAAGGAACACCAGUGGCGAAGGCGACUAACUGGUCAGAUACUGACGCUGAGGCACGAAAGCGUGGGGAGCAAACAGG